AGUGAACGCUGGCGGUAGGCCUAACACAUGCAAGUCGAACGGCAGCACAGAGGAGCUUGCUCCUUGGGUGGCGAGUGGCGGACGGGUGAGGAAUACAUCGGAAUCUACUCUGUCGUGGGGGAUAACGUAGGGAAACUUACGCUAAUACCGCAUACGACCUACGGGUGAAAGCAGGGGCUCUUCGGACCUUGCGCGAUUGAAUGAGCCGAUGUCGGAUUAGCUAGUUGGCGGGGUAAAGGCCCACCAAGGCGACGAGCCGUAGGUGGUCUGAGAGGAUGACCAGCCAGACUGGAAUGGAGACACGGUCCAGACUCCUACGGGAGGCAGCAGUGGGGAAUAUUGGACAAUGGGCGCAAGCCUGAUCCAGCCAUACCGCGUGGGUGAAGAAGGCCUUCGGGUUGUAAAGCCCUUUUGUUGGGAAAGAAAUCCAUCUGGUUAAUACCCGGGUGGGAUGACGGUACCCAAAGAAUAAGCACCGGCUAACUUCGUGCCAGCAGCCGCCGUAA
Molecule: ribosomal RNA, 506 nt
Filed under: uncultured bacterium
Lineage: Bacteria
Description: partial 16S ribosomal RNA
Rfam family: Bacterial small subunit ribosomal RNA
Source: RNAcentral